GUAGGUGGCAAGCGUUGUCCGGGAAUUAUUGGGGCGUAAAGCGCGCGCAGGCGGUUCUUUAAGUCUGAUGUGAAAGCCCACGGGCUCAACCGUGGAGGGUCAUUGGAAACUGGAGAACUUGAGUACAGAAGAGGAAAGCGGAAUUCCACGUGUAGCGGUGAAAUGCGUAGAGAUGUGGAGGAACACCAGUGGCGAAGGCGGCUUUCUGGUCUGUAACUGACGCUGAGGCGCGAAAGCGUGGGGAGCAAACAGGAUUAGAUACCCUGGUAGUCCACGCCGUAAGCGAUGAGUGCUAAGUGUUAGGGGGUUUCCGCCCCUUAGUGCUGCAGCUAACGCAUUAAGCACUCCGCCUGGGGAGUACGGCCGCAAAGGCUG
RNAcentral lists this ribosomal RNA (375 nucleotides) under uncultured organism. Its description in RNAcentral is "partial 16S ribosomal RNA". It matches the Rfam family "Bacterial small subunit ribosomal RNA", at positions 527 to 896 of the family's 1533-position model. The record is from RNAcentral.